Molecule: ribosomal RNA, 465 nt
Filed under: uncultured Klebsiella sp.
Lineage: Bacteria; Pseudomonadati; Pseudomonadota; Gammaproteobacteria; Enterobacterales; Enterobacteriaceae
Description: bacterial SSU rRNA
Rfam family: Bacterial small subunit ribosomal RNA
Source: RNAcentral
CCUACGGGGGGCUGCAGUGGGGAAUAUUGCACAAUGGGCGCAAGCCUGAUGCAGCCAUGCCGCGUGUGUGAAGAAGGCCUUCGGGUUGUAAAGCACUUUCAGCGGGGAGGAAGGCGGUGAGGUUAAUAACCUCAUCGAUUGACGUUACCCGCAGAAGAAGCACCGGCUAACUCCGUGCCAGCAGCCGCGGUAAUACGGAGGGUGCAAGCGUUAAUCGGAAUUACUGGGCGUAAAGCGCACGCAGGCGGUCUGUCAAGUCGGAUGUGAAAUCCCCGGGCUCAACCUGGGAACUGCAUUCGAAACUGGCAGGCUAGAGUCUUGUAGAGGGGGGUAGAAUUCCAGGUGUAGCGGUGAAAUGCGUAGAGAUCUGGAGGAAUACCGGUGGCGAAGGCGGCCCCCUGGAUAAAGACUGACGCUCAGGUGCGAAAGCGUGGGGAGCAAACAGGAUUAGAUACCCCUGUAGUC